GAUGAAGAACGCAGCGAAAUGCGAUAAGUAAUGUGAAUUGCAGAAUUCAGUGAAUCAUCGAAUCUUUGAACGCACCUUGCACCCUUUGGCAUUCCGAAGGGUAUGCUCGUUUGAGUGUCAUUGUACUCUCACACUCUCCGAUCCUAUGGAUUCGGGGAGCGGUGGACUUGGGUGUUGCUGCCUUUCCUUGUGGCUCACCUCAAAUGUGUCAGUGCACCUCUUGGUUGGACAUAGUACGGCGUGAUAAGUGUCUUCGCCGGCACCUCGCAAGAGGGUGGCCGAUCGGGAGCUCUGUGCUUUCAAACCGUCUUCGGACAAUUUCUGACAACUUGACCUCAAAUCGAGUAGGACUACCCGCUGAACUUAAGCAUAUCAAUAAGGAGG
Molecule: unclassified non-coding RNA, 384 nt
Filed under: soil metagenome
Description: partial contains 5.8S ribosomal RNA, internal transcribed spacer 2, and large subunit ribosomal RNA
Rfam family: 5.8S ribosomal RNA (bases 1-120)
Source: RNAcentral